GAUGAAGAACGCAGCGAAAUGCGAUACGUAAUGUGAAUUGCAGAAUUCAGUGAAUCAUCGAAUCUUUGAACGCAUAUUGCGCUCUUUGGUAUUCCGAAGAGCAUGCUUGUUUGAGUAUCAGUAAACACCUCAACCUCUUCUUGAUUUUUCAAAAGGAGGGUGGACUUGAGCUAUCCCAACAACCUUUACCGGUCGGCGGGCGGCUUGAAAUGCAGGUGCAGCUGGACUUUUAUCUGAGCUAAAAGCAUAUCUAUUUAGUCCUCGUCAAACAGGAUUAUUACUUUUGCUGCAGCUAACAUAAAGGAUAAUUGUCCUCUUUGCUGACUGAUGCAGGAUUUUACGACACUUUAUGUGUUGUUCAACUCGAUCUCAGAUCAAGUAAGACUACCCGCUGAACUUAAGCAUAUCAAUAAGCGGAGGA
This 421-nucleotide unclassified non-coding RNA is filed under the name soil metagenome. RNAcentral describes it as "partial contains 5.8S ribosomal RNA, internal transcribed spacer 2, and large subunit ribosomal RNA". The stretch from base 1 to 120 matches the Rfam family "5.8S ribosomal RNA", at positions 35 to 154 of the family's 154-position model. The record is from RNAcentral.